Long non-coding RNA from Saccostrea cuccullata (small rock oyster), 109 nucleotides. RefSeq lists it as uncharacterized. Lineage: Eukaryota; Metazoa; Mollusca; Bivalvia; Ostreida; Ostreidae. The record is from RefSeq and is a predicted model, not a curated record. The transcript is spliced from 3 exons.
CGCGCGAUGAACGGAAUGGGCGCGAAAACAAGGAUGCUGGUACCCAAUUAGCACAGAUGAGAGCACAUGAAUGAAUAUCAGAUAAUGUCUCAGGAAAGAAAAGAAAUUG